GACGAACGCUGGCGGCGUGCCUAACACAUGCAAGUCGAGCGAAUGAAGUUCCUUCGGGAAUGGAUUUAGCGGCGGACGGGUGAGUAACACGUGGGCAACCUGCCUCAUAGAGGGGAAUAGCCUUCCGAAAGGGAGAUUAAUACCGCAUAAGAUUGUAGUAUCGCAUGAUACAGCAAUUAAAGGAGCAAUCCGCUAUGAGAUGGGCCCGCGGCGCAUUAGCUAGUUGGUGAGGUAACGGCUCACCAAGGCGACGAUGCGUAGCCGACCUGAGAGGGUGAUCGGCCACAUUGGGACUGAGACACGGCCCAGACUCCUACGGGAGGCAGCAGUGGGGAAUAUUGCACAAUGGGGGAAACCCUGAUGCAGCAACGCCGCGUGAGUGAUGACGGCCUUUGGGUUGUAAAGCUCUGUCUUCAGGGACGAUAAUGACGGUACCUGAGGAGGAAGCCACGGCUAACUACGUG
Molecule: ribosomal RNA, 464 nt
Filed under: uncultured bacterium
Lineage: Bacteria
Description: partial 16S ribosomal RNA
Rfam family: Bacterial small subunit ribosomal RNA
Source: RNAcentral